RNAcentral lists this ribosomal RNA (541 nucleotides) under uncultured bacterium. Its description in RNAcentral is "bacterial SSU rRNA". It matches the Rfam family "Bacterial small subunit ribosomal RNA", at positions 355 to 896 of the family's 1533-position model. The record is from RNAcentral.
UAAGGAAUAUUGGUCAAUGGACGAAAGUCUGAACCAGCCAUGCCGCGUGGAGGAUGAAGGUCCUCUGGAUUGUAAACUUCUUUUAUCUGGGACGAAAAAAGGUCUUUCUAGACCGUCUGACGGUACCAGAUGAAUAAGCACCGGCUAACUCCGUGCCAGCAGCCGCGGUAAUACGGAGGGUGCAAGCGUUAUCCGGAUUCACUGGGUUUAAAGGGUGCGUAGGUGGGUUGGUAAGUCAGUGGUGAAAUCUUCGAGCUUAACUCGGAAACUGCCAUUGAUACUAUCAGUCUUGAAUAUUGUGGAGGUUAGCGGAAUAUGUCAUGUAGCGGUGAAAUGCUUAGAUAUGACAUAGAACACCAAUUGCGAAGGCAGCUGGCUACACAUAUAUUGACACUGAGGCACGAAAGCGUGGGGAUCAAACAGGAUUAGAUACCCUGGUAGUCCACGCCCUAAACUAUGGAUACUCGACAUACGCGAUACACUGUGUGUGUCUGAGCGAAAGCAUUAAGUAUCCCACCUGGGAAGUACGAUCGCAAGAUUG